CGCGGCCUAUCAGCUUGUUGGUGAGGUAACGGCUCACCAAGGCAUUGACGGGUAGCCGGACUGAGAGGUUGGCCGGCCACAUGGGAACUGAGACACUGUCCUGACUCCUACGGGAGGCUGCAGUCGAGAAUCUUCUGCAAUGGGCGAAAGCCUGACAGAGCGACGCCGCGUGGAGGACGAAGGCCCUCGGGUCGUAAACUCCUGUCACGUGUUAAGAAAACGUGGUUUCGACCACGUCUGACGAAAGCACGAGAGGAAGUCACGGCUAACUUCGUGCCAGCAGCCGCGGUAAGACGAAGGUGGCGAGCGUUAUUCGGAUUUACUGGGCAUAAAGCGCGCGUAGGCGGCUCGGUCAGUCGGGGGUGAAAGCCCGCAGCUCAACUGCGGAACUACCUCCGAAACUACCGAGCUUGAGUGCAGGAGGGGUGAUUGGAACUCCAGGUGUAGCGGUGAAAUGCGUAGAUAUCUGGAGGAACACCAGAGGCGAAGGCGAAUCACUGGACUGCAACUGACGCUGAGGCGCGAAAGCUAGGGGAGCAAACAGGAUUAGAUACCCUGGUAGUCCUAGCUGUAAACGAUGGGUACUAGGCAGUGGAGGCCCGAUGCCGUCACUGCCGAAGCUAAUGUGAUAAGUACCCCGCCUGGGGAGUACGG
Molecule: ribosomal RNA, 654 nt
Filed under: uncultured bacterium
Lineage: Bacteria
Description: bacterial SSU rRNA
Rfam family: Bacterial small subunit ribosomal RNA
Source: RNAcentral